This 68-nucleotide transfer RNA is filed under the name Enterocloster aldenensis. It matches the Rfam family "tRNA". From Rfam's summary of the family: Transfer RNA (tRNA) molecules are approximately 80 nucleotides in length. Their secondary structure includes four short double-helical elements and three loops (D, anti-codon, and T loops). Further hydrogen bonds mediate the characteristic L-shaped molecular structure. tRNAs have two regions of fundamental functional importance: the anti-codon, which is responsible for specific mRNA codon recognition, and the 3' end, to which the tRNAs corresponding amino acid is attached (by aminoacyl-tRNA synthetases). tRNAs cope with the degeneracy of the genetic code in two manners: having more than one tRNA (with a specific anti-codon) for a particular amino acid; and 'wobble' base-pairing, i.e. permitting non-standard base-pairing at the 3rd anti-codon position. Lineage: Bacteria; Bacillati; Bacillota; Clostridia; Lachnospirales; Lachnospiraceae. The record is from RNAcentral.
CAGAUAGCUCAGUUGGUAGAGCAGAGGACUGAAAAUCCUCGUGUUGCUGGUUCGAUUCCGGCUCUGGG